RNAcentral lists this ribosomal RNA (478 nucleotides) under uncultured bacterium. RNAcentral describes it as "partial 16S ribosomal RNA". It matches the Rfam family "Bacterial small subunit ribosomal RNA", at positions 28 to 523 of the family's 1533-position model. The record is from RNAcentral.
GACGAACGCUGGCGGCGUGCUUAACACAUGCAAGUCGAGCGGUAAGGCCUUUCGGGGUACACGAGCGGCGAACGGGUGAGUAACACGUGGGUGAUCUGCCCUGCACUUCGGGAUAAGCCUGGGAAACUGGGUCUAAUACCGGAUAUGACCUCCUAUCGCAUGGUGGGUGGUGGAAAGAUUUAUCGGUGCAGGAUGGGCCCGCGGCCUAUCAGCUUGUUGGUGGGGUAAUGGCCUACCAAGGCGACGACGGGUAGCCGACCUGAGAGGGUGACCGGCCACACUGGGACUGAGACACGGCCCAGACUCCUACGGGAGGCAGCAGUGGGGAAUAUUGCACAAUGGGCGAAAGCCUGAUGCAGCGACGCCGCGUGAGGGAUGACGGCCUUCGGGUUGUAAACCUCUUUCAGCAGGGACGAAGCGCAAGUGACGGUACCUGCAGAAGAAGCACCGGCUAACUACGUGCCAGCCGCCGCCGUAA